Molecule: ribosomal RNA, 371 nt
Filed under: uncultured bacterium
Lineage: Bacteria
Description: bacterial SSU rRNA
Rfam family: Bacterial small subunit ribosomal RNA
Source: RNAcentral
GACGAACGCUGGCGGCGUGCUUAACACAUGCAAGUCGAGCGGUAAGGCCCUUUUGGGGGUACACGAGCGGCGAACGGGUGAGUAACACGUGGGUGACCUGCCCUCAGCUCUGGGAUAAGCCUGGGAAACUGGGUCUAAUACUGGAUAUGACCUUUCCUCGCAUGGGGGUUGGGUGGAAAGUUUUUCGGCUGGGGAGUGGGCCCGGCGGCCUAUCAGCCUGUUGGGUGGGGUGAUGGCCUACCAAGGCGACGACGGGUAGCCGGCCUGAGAGGGCGACCGGCCACACUGGGACUGAGACACGGCCCAGACUCCUACGGGAGGCAGCAGUGGGAAUAUUGCGCAAUGGGCGGAAGCCUGACGCAGCGACGCCG